UUUUAAUCAGGGUACACAAGAGACGGCUCUUCUUCUCCUUCUGCUGUAGCUUCUUCUCCAUCUCACUCCUCUCGUGAUUCCGUGAUUCCUCCAAAAUGGCGUCACUUCUCCACACGUUUUCGUCUCAAUUAUCUCUCAGGCUCAGAAUAGACUGAUGAACAAGACGACAGCACAGCUUCUCCGCGAGACCUGACGAAGCCACCGACCUGUUUCAUGACUCCAUUCUUCUCAAAGAGAAGAAGAUCGAUGAGGAAGGUGAUCUUCUUCCUGAGUUCGUUGAUGAUGAAGAAAGGAUGGUUUGAUCUAGCUAGUGCUCGACACUCUAUGGGAACUUUACGUAUCAACAGCACUCUCUUAGACCUCAAGGAUCAUUCUGCGGCUUCAACAUUGCAAGUGACUGACCAAGAGGACAUAUACUUAUAUGUCUAUUACCAACCCGCUAGAGUUGAGUAAACGCUUCUGUGACAGAGUAUUUGGUUGAUAUGGGUGCUCUCAACUGCCUCCUUCCCACCGACCAGCCUCGACUCAGCGAACAUAUGGAUGACAUCAUUAAGAUGAUUGAAAAGAUUAUUGAGAAUGAUUGUGGGUAUGUUAUGGAAGGAGGCGAUGUGUUCUUCUCUGUCGACAAAUCACUAGACUAUGGUAAGUUGUCAGGUCAGCGGAUGGAACAUACACGGGCUAGUGAGCGAGAAUCACUAGACUAUGGCCUUGGGAUGAAGAAUUUUCUUUGGUGAAUUGCAGAACUUUUAAGUUAGGUGAUAUGUAUAGCCUUUGUAUGUUGAGUUUGAGACAUCAGCCUUUGUAGCAGGGUUUGAGUAUUGAUCAUAGUCUGAGAGCAAGGGAUACCAUCAAUUAAGCAUUAAUCAUGUUUUUCAUUUCCUUGUUUUUAAUGAAAGUGUAUUCACAAGAUCAAAUGUUACUUCUUAAGUUGUUUCAA
Brassica oleracea var. oleracea is the source of this 937-nucleotide RNA transcript. It is a transcript of the gene named cysteine--tRNA ligase 2, cytoplasmic-like, with no coding region annotated. The transcript has 5 exons. The record is from RefSeq and is a predicted model, not a curated record. NCBI's taxonomy places the organism in Eukaryota, Viridiplantae, Streptophyta, Magnoliopsida, Brassicales, Brassicaceae.